Molecule: non-coding RNA, 101 nt
Filed under: Microcebus murinus (gray mouse lemur)
Lineage: Eukaryota; Metazoa; Chordata; Mammalia; Primates; Cheirogaleidae
Source: RNAcentral
GGCUGGUCCACAGGCGGUGACUCACCUGUGCACAGUCAGGCCCACAUCCAGCCCCUGCCCUGCUCUUCCCUUUUCUCGCGACUGCACUUGACUUGUCUUAA